Molecule: long non-coding RNA, 3701 nt
Organism: Triticum dicoccoides
Lineage: Eukaryota; Viridiplantae; Streptophyta; Magnoliopsida; Poales; Poaceae
Exons: 4
Source: RefSeq, a predicted model, not a curated record
CCCCUCGCUGUGAUAGCCACACGCCACCCACCUCUCCUCUCUUCCCCCUCUUACAUGAAAACCAUGGAAACCCUAGAUCCCGCCAAUUCGACGCCACCCUGACGGCGUCUGAGAGAACGACCAUUGUGUGGCCGUGGCCAUCGCCCUCCUCCUACGCCGUCUGCAUCUCCGGCUAAUUCUCCAUCGUCGAAUCCGUCGACUACUACUUCUGCAUCGCCAUGGGACACCAAGACAGUGUCGCCGUCUUCCUCUUCUUUAUCUACGCCCGUCACCGCUCCUUCUCAAACUCCCAUCGUCUACAUCCACCUCUCAACCAGUCAAGCGCACUGGCGUGCUUAUGGUGAGCACCCGCUUCCACAAACCCUUCCCCCCUUCCGAUUCACUCCUACAUCGAUGGAUUUGUCUCAAUCCUGAGAGCUCCUCCUCACGGCCAUGUCGCCGGCCACGCUCCGAUGACCUCAGGCUCGUUCCUUUGGCAGUCUCACGUCUGCGCGAGCAUGUAGAGUAGUAUGGCAGCGUUAGUUUUCUUAUUUGCAUGCCAUAGCCACGAUGCCUUGCGCACCCGAGCGCCUCCCCACUCCGGCAAGUUGCCACCGUCGUUUCCAUCGGUGCUUGACGUCACGUUUGGUCGUCGGGGAUGCGGAACUCCACCGUGAACAAAACACACACACACCCACUCCUCUUGAGCAUGGCGGGAUCCAUCUCGACGAGUGCUCCGCCCUGGUUUUGGUCAUUGUCGGCAGAUACUCUGCUUCCUUUGUUUCGAUUCGAACGCGAGCUCAUCUCCAUCGUUGGAUCCCUAGCCAACACAUAGGAUUAGAUUCUCCACGUACUGCUUCGCCCCUUGUCUCGCUGAUGAGUUGGCCCCACUUGUCAGGGCGCGAGUCAACCACUUAAGGCCGCACACUCCUCUAUGUUUCAAACACACUCGUUGCUCAGCUAGUUGUGCCUAGCCAGCUCAAACAUCGGCCGCGGGUUUGAGUCCCGGCCAGCACAAAGCGAGGACCCCUAGGACCCACCUGUCACCCACACACCACAUUGUCCACGCACACUCACAGCCACAUGGCCCCUGGCCCACUAGUCGGUCUCAUUGGCAGCUGGAUUUGGGUGCCCGUAGCCUUUUCUUUUAUUUCCUUUUUGUUUUUGAUUUCUUUUUUGAAUUAAACUAUUUUCUGGAUUCUACUAAUCUCUCCCUAAUAAUAAAGCACGGAUUGGGUCUUCGGGUUCACCGUCGCGGCGCUUUCCCCAAAAAGCCCAUGUGUUUUUGGGAAUUCAACCCGCAAUCCCUUCUUAAGUGGUAAAUUUGACAUAACGUUUCGGUUUUGCAGAAAAGACCCUAUAGUUUGCUAUAUUCAACCCGUGGUCAUUUUAAAGGGACGAGCUCUUUUCCUUUAUGCGUGCUCUGCUCGAUCUAGACGGGCAUGGCGCCGUCGGCGGCGGCAGGUCUUUUUCUCCGGCCAUCCACCGGCCUGUUCUCCUUCCCCUCCCGAUCCGCCCCUAAUACUCUCCGGCGCCACCCGCAGCCUCUUCAAUCUCGAACCUCCUGCACAUGUGCCGUGCUUCUCUGACUUGGAUCAGAGUUGGAUUUUGUGUCCUCAAAUCCAUGGAGUAGCCACCAAAUUCCGUCGAAUCGCCGCGUCAACCUCCCCGCAGCGGCCGCGCCGCCCAGGAACCCCAGCCAUCGCUCCUGCUAGGCCAGGCUCCGCUGCCGAGGUCCCCCAUCGCCAUUUGAUCCCCAAGUGCCUAUCCGCCAUCUCAACGGCCUCACCCAGCGAGCUCGCCUGGACCCUGAGGUCAUUGGAGCGAGCCUCCACCAGGCCACCCGACACGCCAAUGAUCCCGUGUGCUACCGCUCUAAGCUCCCCUGCUCGCUGCCCUCCACGCACCGCCGCCCUGGCCUAGCAGAUUAAUGGAGGGCGCGACCAACUUUGGUUCGUGCCUCGGUGCUCCUCGCCGUUCACCAGCUGCCGCAUCCAACUUCUCCACUAUGGGAGUUCAUUAUGGCAGCGUACAACCACCAAUUAAUAGAGAACAUGGGGGAAGGGAAAGGAGAUGAUGCAGCCGGCGCUAUGUCGAACCAUCGACACGGCAGACGCAGCAUACAAAUGCCCUGUAGGUGGCCGGACCUGGGGAUCUCCAUCAAGGUCGACAACGAGUUGUAGUACUGUGUCCAGCCAACAACUCCUUUUGCUUCUCAGGGGAGGACACUGAUCGUUUGGUUAAAAAAAGGAGUGUGGAAACUCACCAUCCUUUCUGAAACAUUCUCACUCAGUCAAGUGCCAAGGUUCAUGGUCACAAAUGGACAUACUGUUUCAGGCUUAUGACUAAGAAUUAGAAACACAGGCUCAAAUUAAUUAGAUGCUCUAAUUAGAAGGUAUGCACUUGGAGGCAUUACCCGCCUUCUUACUUGGAGGCCUUCCUUGCCUUUUUCCCGUGGCAAACCAUGGCGCUUGAAAAAUAAAAUUAAACAUGCACGGGUCUCAACUUGUAAGUGAUGUGCCGAAACUGCCACUACCUACAACCGUGCCCUCAGGCUUCCCUCGGACCGUCCUUAUCAAUUGUAGUCUCUGCUCUCCCACGUUAAGUCCCUCCUUUUAGAAACAGCUUUUCUCGAUGGUGGCCUCCCCUGGAAGCUCUUGAACCUAUGGUGUGGAGUCGGUUCCCCGUCAGGAGGAAAUGCUUGCGUUAGGUCGUCAGACUGUUAAUUAUAACCAUGUUAUUCUGUCGAGCCUUUCCAUCGAGUUGUCAAAACAAUAUCAAAGUAGAAGAUGUUAAAUAUGAAACUACCAAGUUAUGCACUCUGCUAUUGUGGUUGUGAAGCUCGUACAGUCUGCUUGAUGUUCGCACUAAGUUUCCUUCAGGCAACAAGACGACGAGUUCAAUGCAAGUCUUCAGGCUGUAGGCCUAAUCAUAGGCAAAGAAGUCUGGACUUCCGUGGGUUUUCAUGAACGAUUUUGAGAUGAAGAAUAGUUGUUAAGUUAUUAUUUUUGCUAGAAGAGUAGCAUCGCAAAAGAGUAUUGCUGGAGAAGUAACUGGAGCACAUGCUACUAUUUUUAUAGGAAAGACCCUAAAUGACCCAACUUAUGCAAUCUACAGAUGUUGCUUAUGAAAUCGGUAGAGCCAUGCAUCUGCAAUUAUCUAUUAGCAACAUCAGGUUUGUGUUUGUAUCUCUUCUGCCAUCAUUUCACGAUCAUUAUGUUAUUUCUUUUCUCAUCUCGAAUCCUUUUUGUUAUAGCCAUACAUUCUCUUUUGGUUUAAGAAGAUAAUAAUCCAGUUUCACUAAAUGCAUUUUCUAUAGCAGCAUAUUCUCUAAUAAUUCAAUCAUACUACGUACUGGUCUAUAAUUUCAUUUCUUUGGUCAUUAAUCUAGCUUUUCCCUGAGAUUGUUUCUCAUAGUGAACAACUCAUAAAAAUGAUUUGUAGGAAAUAGACAAGAAUGAUAGGCUACAUACUGAUGUUUUCCGUAACUUCCCUGUAUGGUUCAGGAGAAGCGUAUUGCAAUAGAAGAUUCGAGGGCGAUAACGCGAGGAAGAAAAACUGUCUGUUGUGAGAGAAGAAAUUGUUGCCCCAUAGGCUUUCAGUUUAAAAGUUUCCAUUACAUACAGUUUCACUCUCUGCAUAUGAUACAUUUGUUAUCACUCGGUAUUCUGCUCAAGGGGAACUGAUACUUCUGCAUAUGAGAAUUCUUAUCCUUUUGACUA